This is a ribosomal RNA of Callithrix jacchus (white-tufted-ear marmoset), 119 nucleotides long. The record is from Ensembl. NCBI's taxonomy places the organism in Eukaryota, Metazoa, Chordata, Mammalia, Primates, Cebidae.
GUCUAUGGCCAUACCACCCCGAACACGCCCGAUCUCGUCAGAUCUCGGAAGCAAAUCAGGGUCGGGCCUGGUUAGUACUUGGAUGGGAGACUGCUUGGGAAUACCGGGUGCCGUAGGCU